ACUGAUUAGAAGCUUGCUUCUAUGACGUUAGCGGCGGACGGGUGAGUAACACGUGGGCAACCUGCCUGUAAGACUGGGAUAACUUCGGGAAACCGAAGCUAAUACCGGAUAGGAUCUUCUCCUUCAUGGGAGAUGAUUGAAAGAUGGUUUCGGCUAUCACUUACAGAUGGGCCCGCGGUGCAUUAGCUAGUUGGUGAGGUAACGGCUCACCAAGGCAACGAUGCAUAGCCGACCUGAGAGGGUGAUCGGCCACACUGGGACUGAGACACGGCCCAGACUCCUACGGGAGGCAGCAGUAGGGAAUCUUCCGCAAUGGACGAAAGUCUGACGGAGCAACGCCGCGUGAGUGAUGAAGGCUUUCGGGUCGUAAAACUCUGUUGUUAGGGAAGAACAAGUACGAGAGUAACUGCUCGUACCUUGACGGUACCUAACCAGAAAGCCACGGCUAACUACGUGCCAGCAGCCGCGGUAAUACGUAGGUGGCAAGCGUUAUCCGGAAUUAUUGGGCGUAAAGCGCGCGCAGGCGGUUUCUUAAGUCUGAUGUGAAAGCCCACGGCUCAACCGUGGAGGGUCAUUGGAAACUGGGGAACUUGAGUGCAGAAGAGAAAAGCGGAAUUCCACGUGUAGCGGUGAAAUGCGUAGAGAUGUGGAGGAACACCAGUGGCGAAGGCGGCUUUUUGGUCUGUAA
Molecule: ribosomal RNA, 688 nt
Filed under: Bacillus sp. FJAT-4603
Lineage: Bacteria; Bacillati; Bacillota; Bacilli; Caryophanales; Bacillaceae
Description: bacterial SSU rRNA
Rfam family: Bacterial small subunit ribosomal RNA
Source: RNAcentral